GUCUAGGGGGCCCAGCAAUGGGUCACCGGCGAACGGGUGCGUAACACGUGAGCGACCUACCUUGAGAUGGGGGAUAGCCGGCCCAACGGCCGGGUAAUACCGCAUACGCUCUUCGGGCUACCUGGCCCUGAGAGGAAAGCCCUGGCGUCUCUAGAGGGGCUCGCGUCCUAUCAGCUAGUUGGUGAGGUAACGGCUCACCAAGGCGAUGACGGGUAGCUGGUCUGAGAGGAUGGCCAGCCACAUUGGGACUGAGAAACGGCCCAGACUCCUACGGGAGGCAGCAGUGGGGAAUAUUGCGCAAUGGUCGAAAGACUGACGCAGCGACGCCGCGUGGAGGAUGACGCCCUUCGGGGUGUAAACUCCUGUUGCUCGGGACGAACCUCCCUUUCGAGGGAACUGACGGUACCGAGUGAGGAAGCACCGGCUAACUCUGUGCCAGCAGCCGCGGUAAUACAGAGGGUGCGAGCGUUGUCCGGAAUCACUGGGCGUAAAGGGCGCGUAGGCGGCUUGGUAAGCGUGCGGUGAAAGCUCGAGGCUCAACCUCGAGUCUGCCGUGCGAACUGCCGAGCUGGAGCACGGUAGAGGCACAUGGAAUUCCGGGUGUAGCGGUGGAAUGCGUAGAGAUCCGGAAGAACAUCGGUGGCGAAGGCGGUGUGCUGGGCCGUA
Molecule: ribosomal RNA, 666 nt
Filed under: uncultured bacterium
Lineage: Bacteria
Description: bacterial SSU rRNA
Rfam family: Bacterial small subunit ribosomal RNA
Source: RNAcentral